CCCUUAGAUGUUCUGGGCUGCACGCGCGCUACACUGAUGCACUCAACGAGUUUACGACCUUGCCCGAUAGGGUUGGGUAAUCUUUUUAAAAUGCAUCGUGAUGGGGAUAGAUUAUUGCAAUUAUUAAUCUUCAACGAGGAAUUCCUAGUAAGCGCGAGUCAUCAGCUCGUGCUGAUUACGUCCCUGCCCUUUGUACACACCGCCCGUCGUUCCUACCGAUUGAGUGCUCAGGUGAAUAAUUCGGACUGCAGCAAUGUUUGGAUCCCGAACGUUGCAGCGGAAAGUUUAGUGAACCUUAUCACUUAGAGGAAGGAGAAGUCGUAACA
This 326-nucleotide ribosomal RNA is filed under the name uncultured eukaryote. Its description in RNAcentral is "partial 18S ribosomal RNA". It matches the Rfam family "Eukaryotic small subunit ribosomal RNA", at positions 1470 to 1796 of the family's 1831-position model. The record is from RNAcentral.